This 715-nucleotide long non-coding RNA is filed under the name Phoenix dactylifera (date palm). RNAcentral's name for it is "long non-coding RNA (PDAC_LNC004599)". Lineage: Eukaryota; Viridiplantae; Streptophyta; Magnoliopsida; Arecales; Arecaceae. The record is from RNAcentral.
UUUGCAUGUCGGUGGGGGUUUCUCCGUUGGCCAUCUGGUGGUCUUGUCUUUUCAGCCCUCAGGCGGGAGAUUAUGGCCAUCUUGGGCCAGCUAACCCCUCCCUGGCCCAAUACUAUUCAACUGGGCCCUACAGUAUUGGGCCCGGUCUGUAUUGGGCCCGGACAUUACAUCCUUCCCCCCUUAAAUAAAUUUCGUCCUCGAAAUUAAGCAUACCUUGGUUCUCGAAGAGCUGAGGGUAACAUUGUCGCAUCUCUUCUUCCAAUUCUCAGGUGGCUUCCCUUUCAGUGUGAUUGGUCCACUGGACCUUAACGUAGGGAAUGGUGCGCCUUCGGAGGAUCUGCUCUUUUCUGUCGACGAUGCGCAAGGGAGCCUCCUCAUAGGUUAAAUCUUUAUUUAAUUGCAGAGGCUCAUGUGGCACCACAUGACUGGGAUCCGGGAUGUACCUCCGCAGUAGUGAGACAUGGAAGAUGUCGUGUACGCCCGAUAGCUCCGGGGGUAGGGCCAAUUUGUAGGCAACCUUGCCUAUCCUGGCAAGAAUCUCGAAUGGGCCGAUGUAGCGAGGACUUAGCUUGCCGUGUCUUCCGAAUCGGGUGAUACCCUUCGAUGGAGAAAUUUUUAGGAAGACAAAGUUCUCCUCCAAAAAUUCCAAGGCCCUUCUUCCUCUAUCAGCCCAUCUUUUCUGUCUGUCUUGGGCAGCCUGAAGCCUUUGCUUAAU